GCUACUAGACGGCGCGUCAUGUAGCACCGUCGGGAGCAGCACACGUGUUCGUUAACGCACGGAUUACUCUGUAUCUUACCGUCACCGAGAAAAUACAUAGUCUUAUAUCCUACAACGGUCUACAAUUAUUACAAGCCUGAGAAUAACCCACACAAGUGCAACACAAUAUAUUAUAACAACGUCGUAAGAUGGAAUAUUUAUAUAAAUUAGUCGUUUUCUUGUGUGGAUAGCAAAUCAUCAAUAUUGAGUAUUGAUAUUGUGCCAUCAUCGUGAAUUUCUUGGGACGAGGCGCGAAAUUCUCUUGUUUGCAAAUUUAUGUGGCCUCCUCCACGGCCGUCAAAAGAAUGAAAUUGCAAAAUUUAAUUAAAACAGGCGAACCUCCAAUUGAUACAUGGCCAACAUUUCGCGUGGAAACACGAGGCAGAGCAAAAACGUAUUUGGAAACUGGAACCCGUCUUGAAUGACUAAAAAAGCAAGAAUAUACAUUUACUGAAGAAAGUGAAGUUGAUGGUCGAUCAAAAUCUCUUGUGGAUAUUAAAAGUUAUAAAAUAAAACGUAAAGAAAAUACAUCUUUAAGAAAAGAAUUAAAUUUAACUUCCCAAA
Molecule: non-coding RNA, 603 nt
Organism: Linepithema humile (Argentine ant)
Lineage: Eukaryota; Metazoa; Arthropoda; Insecta; Hymenoptera; Formicidae
Source: RefSeq, a predicted model, not a curated record